Molecule: ribosomal RNA, 253 nt
Filed under: uncultured bacterium
Lineage: Bacteria
Description: partial 16S ribosomal RNA
Rfam family: Bacterial small subunit ribosomal RNA
Source: RNAcentral
GACAGAGGGUGCAAACGUUGUUCGGAGUUACUGGGCGUAAAGGGUGCGUAGGCGGCUUUUUAAGUUUGGUGUGAAAUCUCCCGGCUCAACUGGGAGGGUGCGCCGAAUACUGAGAGGCUAGAGUGUGGGAGAGGAAAGUGGAAUUCCUGGUGUAGCGGUGAAAUGCGUAGAUAUCAGGAGGAACACCGGUGGUGUAAACGGCUUUCUGGACCAUAACUGACGCUGAGGCACGAAAGCGUGGGUAGCAAACAGG